AUGACAGGAGUGAGCCACCGCGCCCGGACUGUCUCUCUCUUUCUUUCUCUCUCUCUCUCUCUCUGUGCCUAUCUUCUGUCUUACUCUCUUUCUCUGCCUGUCUCUCUCUCUCUUUCUCUCUCUCUCUCUGCCUAUCUAGACUGUCUUACUCUCUCUGCCUGUCUGUCUCUCUCUCUGUCUGUCUCUCUCUCUCCCUGUCUGUUUCUCUACCUCUGUCUCUCUUGCUCUCUCUCUGUCUCUCUUGCUGUUUCUCUCUGUCUCUGUCUCUUUCUCUGUCUGUCUCUCUCUUUCUUUCUCUCUGUCUCUGUCUCUCUCUCCCUCUGCCUGUUUCUCUCACUGUGUCUGUCUUCUGUCUUACUCUCCUUCUCUACCUGUCUGUUUGUCUUUCUCUCCCCCUCUUUGUUUCUCUCUCCCUCUCUAUCUCUCACUCUCUUCGUCUCUCUCUCUGUUUCUCUCUGUCUGUCUCUUUCUCUGUCUCUCUGUCUGUCUGUCUCUCUCUCUGUCUCCCUCCCUCCCUGUCUGUUUCUCUCUCUUUCUCUAUCUCUGUCUCUCUCUCUUUCUGUUUAUCUCUGUCCAUCUCUUUCUCUGUCUCUCUCUUUCUCUGCCUGUCUCUCUCACUGUGUCUGUCUUCUGUCUUACUCUCUUUCUCUGCCUGUCUGUCUCUCUGUCUCUCUCUCUGCCUCCCUUUCUCUCUCUCUCUUUCUGUUUCUCUCUGUCUCUGUCUGUCUCUCUCUGUGUGUCUGUCUGUUUCUCUUUCUCUGUCUCUCUCUCUCUGCCUGUCUCUCUCACUGUGUCUGUCUUCUGUGUUACUCUUUUUCUGCCGGUCUGUCUCUCUCUUUCUCUCUCUCUCUGUCUCUCUCUCUUUGUUUCUCUCUGUCUCUCUCUGUCCGUCUCUGUCUUUCUCUGUCUGUCUCUUUGUCUGUCUGUCUGUAUCUCUCUUUCUCUGUCUCGCUGUCUCUGUCUCUCUCUCUGCCUGUCUGUCUGUCUGUAGGUCUCUCUCUCUCUCCCUGUCUGUUAUUUUCUCUCUCUCUGUUUGCCUGUCUGUUUCUCUGUCUCUGUCUCUCUGUCUGUCUCUCUCUGCCUGUCUCUCUCUGUGUCUGUCUUCUGUCUUACUGUCUUUCUCUGCCUGUCUGUCUGUCUCUCUCUCUCCUUGUCUGUUUCUCUCUCUCUCUGUCUCUGUUUCUCUCUGUCUCCCUCUGUCUGUCUCUGUCUUUCUCUCUCUGUCUCUUUCUCUCUGUCUGUCUCUCUCUUUCUUUCUCUCUGUCCAUCUGUCUCUGUCUCUGUGUGUGUGUCUGCCUUCUGUCUUACUCUCUUUCUCUGCCUGUCUACCUGUCUGUCUGUCUCUCUCUGUCUGUCUCUCUCUCUUUCUGUCUCUGUCUCUUUCUGUUUCUCUCUGUCUCUGUCCAUCUCUUUCUCUGUCUGUGUCUUUAUCUGUCUGUCUCUCUCUCUCUUUCUGUCUUUCUCUCUUUGUGUAUCUUUGUGUCUCUCUGUCUGUCUCUCUCUGUCUCUGUCUUUGUCUCUCUCUCUCUCUCUCUCACCCGCUCUCUGGCUCUCGCUAUCUCCCGCCCUCUCUUUCUUUGCAAAAUAAGUUCAAGUACAUCUAAUCCAAUCCAUUACCACGACCUGAAUUCUUAACUUUAGACAUCCCAGAUUUGAUCUCCCUGCAGAAUACUGUACAGAACUGGCGAGUUGAUUUCUGGACUUGGAUACCUCAUAGAUACUACAUAUUAAUAAAGAUCCAACCAUAAAAUCUGGGGUUGCGUCUCCCUCGACUGUCUCGAAAAAUCGUACCUCUGUUCCCCUAGGAUGCCGGAAGAGUUUUCUCCAUGUGCAUCUGCCCGUGUCCUAAGUGAUCUGUGACCGAGCCCUGUCCGUUCUGUCUCAAAUAUGUAUGUGCAAACACUUCUCUCCAUUUCCACAACUACCCACGGCCCCUUGUGGAACCACUGGCUCUUUGAAAAAAAUCCCAGAAGUGGUUUUGGCUUUUUGGCUAGGAGGCCUAAGCCUGCUGAGAACUUUCCUGCCCAGGAUCCUGUGUGAACAAAAGUGCCUCUGCUGGGAGCUGGGAUCGUCGGGACCAUGCUUGCUAGCGCUGGAUGAGUCUCUGGAAGGACGCAUGGGACUACUCAAAGCUGACCUGUCCCACCGAGGUCAAAUGGAUACCUCUGCAUUGGCCCGAGGCCUCCA
Molecule: long non-coding RNA, 2187 nt
Organism: Pan troglodytes (chimpanzee)
Lineage: Eukaryota; Metazoa; Chordata; Mammalia; Primates; Hominidae
Source: Ensembl